Molecule: non-coding RNA, 181 nt
Filed under: Desulfotomaculum nigrificans
Lineage: Bacteria; Bacillati; Bacillota; Clostridia; Eubacteriales; Desulfotomaculaceae
Also listed under: 1 other name
Source: RNAcentral
GAAUAAAUUAUAGUGUUAGGUAUCUUAUAGAUUUAAUAAGGAAUCGGGUGCAAUUCCCGAACGGUCCGGCCACUGUGAAUGGCUAGUUGGUUUCUGAAAUACCACUGGAUGAAUUUCUGGGAAGGUAGAAACUAACGCUGACAGCCUGAGUCAGGAUACUUGCCUAACACUCUACUGACAC